AUUGAACGCUGGCGGCAGGCCUAACACAUGCAAGUCGAGCGAGCGGCGGACGGGUGGGUAAUGUCUGGGAACCUGCCUGAUGGGAGGGGCUAACUACAGGAAACGGUAGCUAAUACCGCAUACCAUCAGAUGUGCCCAGAUGGGAGUAGCUAGUAGGUGGGGUAACGGCCCACCUAGGCGACGAUCACUAGCUGGUCGGAGAGGAUGACCAGCCACACUGGAACUGAGACACGGUCCAGACGCCUACGGGAGGCAGCAGUGGGGAAUAUGGCACAAUGGGCGCAAGCCUGAUGCAGCCAUGCCGCGUGUGUGAAGAAGGCCUUCGGGUUGUAAAGCACUGUCAGCGGGGAGGCGUUACCCGCAGAAGAAGCACCGGCUAACUCCGUGCCAGCAGCCGCGGUAAUAC
RNAcentral lists this ribosomal RNA (406 nucleotides) under uncultured bacterium. RNAcentral's name for it is "partial 16S ribosomal RNA". It matches the Rfam family "Bacterial small subunit ribosomal RNA", at positions 29 to 526 of the family's 1533-position model. The record is from RNAcentral.